Molecule: ribosomal RNA, 467 nt
Filed under: uncultured bacterium
Lineage: Bacteria
Description: partial 16S ribosomal RNA
Rfam family: Bacterial small subunit ribosomal RNA
Source: RNAcentral
GACGAACGCUGGCGGCGUGCUUAACACAUGCAAGUCGAACGGAAAGGCCUCUUUCGGGGGGUACUCGAGUGGCGAACGGGUGAGUAACACGUGAGUAACCUGCCCUUGACUUUGGGAUAACUUCAGGAAACUGGGGCUAAUACCGGAUAGGAGCUCCUGCUGCAUGGUGGGGGUUGGAAAGUUUCGGCGGUUGGGGAUGGACUCGCGGCUUAUCAGCUUGUUGGUGGGGUAGUGGCUUACCAAGGCUUUGACGGGUAGCCGGCCUGAGAGGGUGACCGGCCAGUAUGGGGGUGGGUUGCGGACCAGAAGGCAGCGGGAGGCAGCAGCGGGGAGUAUGGCACAAUGGGUUGAGGUCUGAAGCCGCAACGCCGUGGGGGGGAGGCUGUGCGUGGGGUUGGAAGCCGCUUUAGCUCAGGAUGAAGAUUUGUGAGAAGGGAGUGGGUAAAGUAGAACAGGCUAAACACGUC